Molecule: ribosomal RNA, 503 nt
Filed under: uncultured bacterium
Lineage: Bacteria
Description: partial 16S ribosomal RNA
Rfam family: Bacterial small subunit ribosomal RNA
Source: RNAcentral
GAUGAACGCUAGCGGCAGGCCUAACACAUGCAAGUCGAGGGGCAGCACAGAAACAGCAAUGUGUUGGUGGCGACCGGCGGACGGGUGCGUAACGCGUAUGCAACCUACCUUUAACAGGGGGAUAACGGAGAGAAAUUUCCACUAAUACCACAUAACAACGAUCAAGGCAUCUUGAUUGGUUGAAAACUCCGGUGGUUAAAGAUGGGCAUGCGUUGUAUUAGGUAGUUGGUGAGGUAAUGGCUCACCAAGCCUACGAUACAUAGGGGGGACUGAGAGGUUAGCCCCCCACACUGGUACUGAGACACGGACCAGACUCCUACGGGAGGCAGCAGUGAGGAAUAUUGGUCAAUGGGGGCAACCCUGAACCAGCCAUGCCGCGUGCAGGAAGACGGCUCUAUGAGUUGUAAACUGCUUUUAAACAGGGAUAAAGCACAGUAUGUAUACUGUGUUGAAGGUACUGUAAGAAUAAGGAUCGGCUAACUCCGUGCCAGCAGCCGCCGUAA